GUGCUGCAUGAUUUUGACGUGGUUUAAUCAAUGCCGUGCGCGUGAACUUUCGAGUAUUUCAAACACUGGAGCGGCCGGCGCGCAGAGUUGCCAUGGAAACGGCGCGGGACCACUGCUACUGGUAAGCAACAAAACUCCCUCUCUCGAUGUUGUUUAAACUUUUCACGGCUUUUUCCAGUAGUAACAAAAUAACCCAUAACAGAGAGAAAGCUCCACGACUUCAACAUUUCUGGAGAAAGCUGCUGCCGGAGAAGUAACGUUAGGACACAGAACAAGUCUGUGACUGACUUAAUGAACCCAGUUGCUUUGGAUCAUGCUCAAAGAUGUAAGGG
Molecule: long non-coding RNA, 332 nt
Organism: Rhinichthys klamathensis goyatoka
Lineage: Eukaryota; Metazoa; Chordata; Actinopteri; Cypriniformes; Leuciscidae
Exons: 3
Source: RefSeq, a predicted model, not a curated record